UUAAUUGAAGUGGGGAGGGGCCUUCCAGGUUGUAGGUAGAUAAGAGACCAAUGGUAGCAUUCUUUUGAGUUUCUGAUUAGUCUCUCCAAAGGAGACAAUCAGAUAUACAUCCACCUCAGUGAGCAGAAGGGUGACUUUGAAUAGAAUGGGAGGCAGAU
Cebus imitator (Panamanian white-faced capuchin) is the source of this 158-nucleotide long non-coding RNA. RefSeq lists it as uncharacterized. Lineage: Eukaryota; Metazoa; Chordata; Mammalia; Primates; Cebidae. The transcript has 3 exons. The record is from RefSeq and is a predicted model, not a curated record.